UCUCUCCCGAAGCUGUGCACUCAUUCAAAGAGGAUGACCUUCCCCGAACAGAGGAGGACCAGUCUUCAGUCAAGGGUAUACGAGUAGCUAUGCUCCCCUGCUAGAACCUCCAAACAAGCUCAAGAAGUUGUUUUCUAUAAACUAAAAAGCAGAGUGAACU
This 160-nucleotide small RNA is filed under the name Meriones unguiculatus (Mongolian gerbil). RNAcentral describes it as "7SK RNA (ENSMUGG00000012924.1)". It matches the Rfam family "7SK RNA", at positions 116 to 272 of the family's 331-position model. Rfam says of the family: 7SK was discovered as an abundant small nuclear RNA in the mid-70s but a possible function has only recently been suggested. Two independent studies have found that 7SK RNA binds the CDK9/cyclin T complex (known as elongation factor P-TEFb). The record is from RNAcentral. Lineage: Eukaryota; Metazoa; Chordata; Mammalia; Rodentia; Muridae.